GAUGAACGCUGGCGGCGUGCCUAAUACAUGCAAGUCGAGCGAACAGACGAGGAGCUUGCUCCUCUGACGUUAGCGGCGGACGGGUGAGUAACACGUGGAUAACCUACCUAUAAGACUGGGAUAACUUCGGGAAACCGGAUCUAAUACCGGAUAAUAUAUUGAACCGCAUGGUUCAAUAGUGAAAGACGGUUUUGCUGUCACUUAUAGAUGGAUCCGCGCUGCAUUAGCUAGUUGGUAAGGUAACGGCUUACCAAGGCGACGAUGCGUAGCCGACCUGAGAGGGUGAUCGGCCACACGGGAACUGGGACACGGUCCAGACUCCUACGGGAGGCAGCAGUAGGGAAUCUUCCGCAAUGGGCGAAAGCCUGACGGAGCAACGCCGCGUGAGUGAUGAAGGUCUUCGGAUCGUAAAACUCUGUUAUUAGGGAAGAACAAAUGUGUAAGUAACUAUGCACGUCUUGACGGUACCUAAUCAGAAAGCCACGGCUAACUACGUG
RNAcentral lists this ribosomal RNA (497 nucleotides) under uncultured bacterium. RNAcentral describes it as "partial 16S ribosomal RNA". It matches the Rfam family "Bacterial small subunit ribosomal RNA", at positions 28 to 507 of the family's 1533-position model. The record is from RNAcentral.